Molecule: non-coding RNA, 71 nt
Organism: Bos taurus (domestic cattle)
Lineage: Eukaryota; Metazoa; Chordata; Mammalia; Artiodactyla; Bovidae
Source: Rfam
UCCCACGUGGCUCAGUGGUAAAUAAUCUGCCUGCAAUGCAGGAGACCCAGGUUUGAUCCCUGGGUUGGGAA